Molecule: long non-coding RNA, 1680 nt
Filed under: Homo sapiens (human)
Lineage: Eukaryota; Metazoa; Chordata; Mammalia; Primates; Hominidae
Description: HSALNT0275684
Source: RNAcentral
UAAAAGACACUGUUCAGGACAGGUACGUAUCUAUGCUGAGAGGAUCUCAGUGGAACCAUGAUCCUGUGGAACAAUCGGUGAUAAGAGGCUGAGCCCUGUGUCCUAUAAAGACCCUGAGAGCCAGAGCCACAGAAUGUACAUUUGUUCCUGCUGUGUGAUUGUCCAUCUGUCUGUGCCUGGACAACCACUCCAUCCCCACUGGAUGCAGUAAACAGCACCACUGCCCACUGGCAUUGUGAACCUGGUGUCCAUCACUGAGCUCUGCUGGGGAUAGUCUAUGUGGCAGCUGCUGUAGCUCUUGCUCAGAGUGCUGGUGCAACCGUGUGGCUCCCGUGAUGGGAAUUCAUUGUAUUUUUCUGGCUGAAGAGUAUUCCAGUGUCUACGCAUGGGACAGUUUCCUUAUCCCUUCAUCUGCAGAUGGACAGGAUCCCAGAGUAUUGCAGAAGCCCAAGUGGCCAGACCUAGAGCAAGAGCCCAAAAUCAGAACCCUGCAAGCUGGAGACCAGCAGGCAUUACCAUCUGGGGCUCCCGUAGGAGCUGGCGGUGCCAGGCCACGCUGUCCACUCGACUCUGCUGCUUGUUCCAGUGCAUGAGGAGGUGACCUUAACUUCCAGACAAUGUGGCCAGAUGAGGGAACACAGACUGCAUGGAGGACCUUGGAAGAGUUUGCGGGGCACAGCCCUGCUGGCACAAAGCCUGACACAGAAGGACACAGACACCCCUGCACGGUGAACAGUGACUGAUACUUGUCAUUUACAAGCCUCUUCUUCAGCUCAUCCCCAUGUUGAAAGCAAGAGCUGCUGAGGGCAGUGGAUGUAGGAGUCUCUUCUGGGAGCUGAACCUUUGCAGGAGGCUGGACUAGCAGGGAGAGAUGCAGAGAACUGUGGGCACAGGACAGGGUCCACCGAUUGCGAAAGCAAGAAUGGAAUGAGAAGUAUGAGCAAUGGAUCGAUAUACUAGUCGAACUGAAAUAAGAUAUUGUCAGAACUAUUUGUCCAAGGAAAAUCAGAUGUUCACAACAGAAGUUACAUUCUGAGCUAGAUUUAUCAGAGCCUCCAGCCAGGAUCACUGCACCAGGCCUAGAGAGCAGAGGGAAGAUUUGUGUCUCACUUUCCCAUGGGCCUGGAGCCCUGUGUAAGCCUCAGAGCCACUGUGAAAUCCACUGCCCCUGUGCAGACCCCGAGACAGACCCAUUCUCAGGCUGCAGCACAGCAACGUGCAAAAUCCUUGCACAGGCCGACGCAUCUUUAGAUCCCAAGAUGUGGCUGGGAGCCUCAGAGCCCUGUUUCUUACUUGAGUCCAAGUAGAAGUUCACGAGAUAUUAGAUAGGGUUCCCUGGAUUCUGCCAGAACCAGUCACCGAUUUCUUCUGAUGGAAUCACUGAUUCAUUGUGGUGAUUAUCCAAGGGUGUAUAAAUAUCUUAAAACACACAAAAUUGGGCACUUUAAAUAUCAGGGGUUUAUUUUGUUAAUUAUUCCUCAAUAAAAAGACACAUAAAAAAUAGGCUGAAACAGACCCGGCAUGGUGGCUCACGCCUGUAAUCCCAGCACUUUGGGAGGCCGAGGUGGGCGGAUCACUUAAGGUCAGGAGAUCGAGACAAUCCUGUGAAUGGUGAAACCCCAUCCCUACUAAAAAUACAAAAAAUUAGCCGGGCAUGGUGGCGGGCGCCUGUAGUCCCAG